RNAcentral lists this ribosomal RNA (618 nucleotides) under uncultured bacterium. RNAcentral describes it as "bacterial SSU rRNA". It matches the Rfam family "Bacterial small subunit ribosomal RNA", at positions 338 to 956 of the family's 1533-position model. The record is from RNAcentral.
CCUACGGGAGGCAGCAGUAAGGAAUAUUGGUCAAUGGGCGCAAGCCUGAACCAGCCAUGCCGCGUGCAGGAAGACGGCCCUAUGGGUUGUAAACUGCUUUUGAACAAGAGAAAACCUCGGUACGUGUACCGAGCUGAUAGUAUUGUUAGAAUAAGCAUCGGCUAACUUCGUGCCAGCAGCCGCGGUAAGACGAAGGAUGCAAGCGUUAUCCGGAUUCAUUGGGUUUAAAGGGUGCGUAGGCGGACCGAUAAGUCAGUGGUGAAAUCUCUCAGCUUAACUGAGAAACUGCCAUUGAUACUGUCAGUCUAGAGUACAGAUGAUGUGGGCGGAAUAUGACAUGUAGUGGUGAAAUACUUAGAUAUGUCAUAGAACACCGAUUGCGAAGGCAGCUCACAAAACUGUAACUGACGCUGAGGCACGAAAGUGCGGGGAUCAAACAGGAUUAGAUACCCUGGUAGUCCGCACCGUAAACGAUGAUUACUCGUUGUUGGCAAUAUGACCGUCAGCGACCAAGCGAAAGCGANAAGUAAUCCACCUGGGGAGUACGCCGGCGAACGGUGAAACGUUAAAGGAAUUGACGGCGUUGGAGACGNGCGAGGACGACACGAGGGGAGGAGG